Molecule: RNA transcript, 13176 nt
Organism: Marmota monax (woodchuck)
Lineage: Eukaryota; Metazoa; Chordata; Mammalia; Rodentia; Sciuridae
Gene: Yaf2
Gene name: YY1 associated factor 2
Exons: 6
Source: RefSeq, a predicted model, not a curated record
GAGCCGGGCAGGAGUUUCCCCGACAGCUGGAGGCUGCGUGGGAUCCGGCGGCUCCGGAGCUCGGCGGUGCGGCCUUCCCCGCCCCCCUUCUCUUCCCCCGCCCGCUUCCGCCCGGCUUAUUAUCCUCCGUAUUGACAAACAGAGCGGCCGCAGCGGCGACUCUGGGCGUGCGUUAGUAGCCGAGCGAUGGGAGACAAGAAGAGCCCCACCAGGCCGAAGCGGCAGCCGAAGCCGUCCUCGGAUGAGGGUUACUGGGACUGUAGCGUCUGCACCUUCCGGAACAGCGCCGAGGCCUUCAAGUGCAUGAUGUGCGAUGUGCGGAAGGGCACCUCCACCCGGGACAGCAAGGAAGGGGGGAAGCUGUUGUCCUACUCCACAGCCAGUCUUGGGGUUAGAGGAACCCUGAGAAAUAGAGUAGGUGGUGGCAGCUCAGAAGAGAAGAAACAGGCUGAAUACCUGGCACCUGGAAGAAGAAGGAUUAUAGUGCACAGGGGAGUUGGCCCAGGACAGAGAAGUGAGCCUACUUUUAAAGAGGCUUGAGGCCCACAUGGGAGCCCCUGACAUUUUUUUACCAGUACAUCUGAGCUCUUGUAGAUCCCAUUUUUAGUGGUGGAAACAUUACUUGAGGAGCACUCAGAGAAGCAUUGUCAUUUGGAUUGAAACUGAAGAGGCUCUGGGCAACCCACCAGAAGUCUAAGGGACACUCUGUUCCUAAAAAGAAGAAAAACCUGGAUCACUUACCAGUAACUGGAGUUCUCCUAUUGGGUAAUCUCCACAGAUCCACAUUCUUUGAAGUUAUUGUGAAUGCUUCGAGGACCAAGGAACCGUUGAAAUUUCCAAUUUCAGGAAGUUCCAGUGGAUGCCCAUCAGGAAGAUUCUCAUGCUGGACAGAAGGGCAGGAGAGGUGGAUCUGUGAGGGAAAAGACCCAAUAGGAUAACUCAAGUUACUGGUGGAGAAAUGACUUAUGGCUUUUUAGUAAUCAAUUUUUAUGAAAAAGUAAAGAUGUUCCUUAAAUCAUUCCAUUUUCAUGAAGUAGUGACUUAAAAACAAGGUGGAAUAAACAGUUUUUUCAAGAAUGGAUCUCUGAAAGUUGGCACUUAAGUAAGUGUUCACAUUAUUAACAGCUGUAUUUACACAUUAUAUUUAACUGAUAUUUAUUAUGAUCAUCAAUAUCAAGAGAUGUUUCUUGAGCAUCUAAUUCAUGUAAGAUGUGCUGUAUUAGGUGCUGGGGUACAAAAGUAGGUAAUAUAUAAUCUUUAGAGAUUAGAUCCCAGAUGGUAGGGAAAGAGAAAACAACCAUAAAAGACAAAUACAAAGUACAGGAGUAUGCAAGACUAUCUCUUCUGCAGAGAUUGUACAAGGGUCCUGCAAAUGCACAUUUCUUUUCUAAAUAUUUUUACCAUUAAAAAAAAAAGGGGCGGUAGGGGGUGUAGCUCAGUGGUAGAGCACACUUGCCUAGCAUGUGUAAGGCACUGGGUUUCAUCCUCAGUACCACAUUAAAAAAAUAAAUAAAAGUAUUGUAUCCAUCUACAACUAAAAAAAUUAAAAACACAACAGCCAGGUAUGAUGGCACAUGCCUGUCAUUCUAGCAACUCAGGAGACUGAGGCAGGAGAAUCACUAGUUAGAGAAAGCCUCAGCAACUUAGACCCUGUCUCAAAAUAAACUUUAAGAAAGGCUAGGGUUGUAGCCCAGUGGUACAGCAACCCCCAGGGUUCAAUCUCCAGUACAAACAAAUAAAAAUAAAUCAAAAUAGCAUGUUCUAUAAAUGUGUUCUGUGUACCAAAUUUUAACAUUUAUAGUGGGAAGCCCACUUAAGCUAAUUAAUAUAUUUUGCAGAUUAAUUAACUUAAAAUUAAAAAAAAAAGGAAAGUAGCAAAUACUUUUUCAAGCUUGUUGAAAAAAGACAACCCUGGCAAAAUAAGUUUUUGUUUGUCUGGUACUUGGGAUCAAAUUAAGGGGGACUAAUGCUUGCUAGGCAAGCAGUCUACCACCGAGCUACACUUCCAGCCCAUGGGUAAAAUAUUUUUAAUAAUUGUCUUCCACAUCUGCCCUCAUACCAUAGUUUUGCUCUCACACUCUUCAAAUCCUCUCCAACCCUACAACAAAGCAAAACUUCUUUCAGCUUUUCUUUUAACUUCAUUUUCUUUUGAUUUUCUAUCACAAAAAUCUCGGAAUCUGAUCUAUCAAAAAAGAUACACCUCAGGUUGGGGCUGCAGCUCAGUGGCAGAACAUUUGCCUAGCAUGUGUGAGGCACUGGGUUUGAUCCCUAGCACCACAUAAAAAUGAAACAAAUAGAGCAUGCUAGCCAUCUAAAGAUGCACUUCAGAAAGUCUAGGAAAGGAAGACACUGAGGCCAAGUUAGGAUGGUGUCUGAGGGGAAGGGAAGCAAGAAAUCCAAGACAUUUGAUUGAUUAACUUGGCUAUUGUGCAUCCAACGAUGCUUGUUAACCCUUUGUAGGCUGGUUGGCACUAAAGCCCUGUCUCUCUUUAGUUUAAGGGGCUCCAAAUGCAGUUUUAAAAACAGCUUAUUGAGAUACAAUUCACAUACUGUAAAAUCCAUUUGAAGUAUGCCAUUCAUUGGUUUUUAGUUGGUUCAUACAGUUGUACAUCUACAAUCCAAUUUUAGAUCACCACAAUCUAAUUUUAGAAUAUUUUUGUUGGCCCAAAAAGAAACUCCGUAUCCACCAGCAGAUCCCUUCUAUUCCCCAACCCAUUAGUCCUGGGCUACUACAGAUCCUACUCACUAUUUCUUGGAUUUACCUAUUUUGGACAUUUCAUAUAAACGGAAUCAUACAAUAUCUGGUCUUUUGUGACUGGCUUAUUUCAAUUAACAUAUUUUCAAGAUUUAUUCGUGUUGUAGCAUCUGCUAAUUCUCCAUUCCUUUUAGUGACUAAAUAAUAUUCUAUUUUAUGAAUAUAUGCCAUAAUUGAUUUAUCUAUUCAUAAGUUAAUGGACAUUUGAUUACUUCCACUUAUUAGCAAUUAUGGAUAAUAUUGCUAUGAACCUUUGUGUGUAAGUGUUUAGGUGAACAUAUGUUUUAAUUUCUUUUGGGUAUAUGCCUGAUUAGUUUAUUACUGUGCAAACCUCAGAAUAAUAUUUCUGCUAUUUCUGGGUUCUGUUUUUCAGUCUCUGAACUAUGUCAUUAGUUAAGAAUAUCUUAGCACUGUGCUAGAUUUUUUUUUUAAAUUGGAACCCACAUGGCUGACAAAAUCAUGUGGCAUAUAAAUUAAUUCACCCCUGUAGCAUACACAUGCCUUAGUCAAAGCACAUUUGAGAAGGGUUUAGUCCAUCUGUUGAUGGUUCCUGCUGUCGUCAUGGUUUAGUGGCCAUAUAUAUUAUAAUGGAUGAAUUUAAAAUAUUCCAAAUCAUGAUAAUUCAUAAUUUUGUAUGCCUGUUGUUAUUUAUUAUGACAAACACUAUAAGUGGUAUUGAUAACUUUAUACCAAACUUAUAGCAACUUACAACUUUUAAGAAAAUUGUCUCUAUUUUUCCCCCCAGACUUCUAAUUUACUUUAAUUGAAAUGCUUCCUAAGAGUCAAAGUGAAAUAAAAAGAUAUAGUUGUUUUAACUAUAGUAGUCCCAACCUUAUUCAUGAUUCUACUUUCUGUAGUUUAGGUUACACAUGGUCAACAAUGGUCUGAAAUUAUUUCAAUCUCAUAAGAUAUUUUGGGAAAGAGGGGGAGACUAUAGUCACAUAAAUUUUAUUGUAAUCUGUUCUGGUUAUUCUAUUGUACAUUAUUCUAAUUAUUCUGUUUUAUUGUUAAUCUCUCACUGUGCCUGAUUUAUAAGUUAGACUUUAUCAUAGAUAUACAAGGUUUAGUACUGUCUACAGUAUUAGGCAUCCCCUGGGGUAUUGUAACAUAUUCCCCAAGUAUCAGGAAGGACUACUAUAUUUAUAAGGACUUCCUCAGCACUAUACAGCUAAAACACAGAAAGAGCAUCGUGCCUUGGAGUAGCAAAAACCACAGAGAACAUUAACGUUGACAAUACAGUUAAGAGGCUGGUUUGUUAAGGAGCCUGAAUGCUUGUUUUAAAACAUUUGUUUAUUUAAAAGAAUCAUAGAACUUGCUGAUAAAUACAGGUUUUUGGGUUCUAUGCCUGAGAGUCAGGUUCCUUCAGACUGGAAUGGGACCUGGGAAUCAGCAUAAUGAACAUUUGCAAUGCUGUGAGGACUGUUCCUAUUGUUGAGCAGAACUGAUUUGAUACUAGUAUAUAGAAAAUGACUGGAUUUCCAUCAAAUAUGAGAUUUAUGUUCAUUUUUCUGGUACAGGGGAUUGAACCCAGGGCCCUGGGCAUUCUAGGCAAGUACUCUACCAGUGAGCUACAUCCAUAGCCCCUUUUUUUAAAAAAAGUUUUAUUUUGAGAUAGAGUCUCCUAAGUUGCCAGGGUUGGUCUUGAACUUGUGAUCUUCCUACCUCAGCCUCCCACAUGGGCUAGGUUUACAGGUUUGUGCCACCGUGCAUAGCCAGAUAUGAGAUUUUUGUAACUAGAAACGGACAGGAAUAAUAUACCUAGUCCUGGCUCUUUUGCUUAUUGUUUGUAAGAAUUAUAAGAAAUCAGUUGAUUUUAUUUUAAAAAUUAAGUAUGUAAGUAACACAUUUACCUACUCUAAAAUAUUAGACUAUUUUGGAUAAAACUAAAUUAUUGCUUACUUUUUAUUGCCUGCCUCCAAAUAAAAAAGACUGGGAAUGUAGCUCAGUGUGCAGGGCUCUGGGUUUAUUUCCCAGUACUGCAAAAAAGAAAACAAAAUAGAGAACCAAAAAUAGUUAUUCUAAUAUGGUGGCAUUUAAAGAAUAGUUUUAGAGAAUGUGUAUUGUUUCUAGUUUAUAGAUGCACAAAUGUUUUUUUUUUGUUGUUGUUAAACUGGGCCCAGUUUUAGCUCUUGAGUUCAUUUUGAGAAGUUCUGUUUAUAAGGAUUGGUUUUUAUGUUUUAUUCUUUCCUUGAAGUCUUCAAAGGAUGAAAAGAAAAUUUGCUUAUUUUUUAUAAUUACUAUGUGGAUCUUUUGGGACUUUUAGUGGCUAAUAUGUAUAGUAAAUAGGAUUUUAGUAAUUUUAUUUUUUUCUCUGUCAUGGAUUAGUUUGCUAUUUCAUCAUCCUAGAAAUUAUUUCUUUCAUCUUUACCUAUCAGUUAUUCCCAGCUAUAUUUUUUUAAAAAGACCAAACUAGUACAAAAACAGAAAAAUGGUAGAAUAAAAGGUUGAUGCAGUUGUGAAAUAGCUCAUAGCUAUUGUUAUCAUCUUUUAAGAAAAUAGCAAAGAAGUCUAGAGAUACUGUUUUGGUAGUCUUUGUUUCUAUUAUCCUUUAAUUUUCUAUGAACACAUUUGAGAAUUCACAUUUUUUUCAUUAACAGUUUAUAAUGACAAAGAGAAGAAAAUCAACAAAAUAAGCUAUUUCACAGUUAUUAAAUAAAUUAGAUGAAUACAAAGAGAUUGAGGUUAACACCCAAGAUUAUAAUGUCAAAAUUAACCAUAUAAGGGAAAUCUCAGAUUAUGAGUCUUCAAAUGACAAUGUAGGUCAGCUUUUCUCAAACUCAAGAACUGAUAAAUGAAGAAAUACUUCUGAGGAAUAUAUUAUAUAUUAUAUAUAUAUAUUUUAUAUAUAUAUAUAUAUAUAUUAUAUAUAUAUUUUCUCAUAAAUAGUAAUUCAACAGAAAGUUUUGUUUUGGGGAAGCUGGGGUUUGAACCCAAGGCCUCAUGCACACUAGGGAAAUACUUUUAUCAGUAAGCUACAUCCCAGGCCCUGUUCUUUUUGGUUUUUGUUUGUUCGUUUUAAAGAAAUAUGUGUAUACGUUUAUUUGCCCAGCAGGCUGCUUGAGGAGUGUGAAGGGAAAGGUGUGGGUAGCUCCAAUGCUGGGAACAGGCCAUGUUGCAGGAAUAGAAAGUAUUUUAUCAUGUAAUAUUUUGAAAUAAGAACUUGGACCAUCCUGUUUUUCUUUAAGAACUGAUAUUUUUUCAUUUUAUAUAUUUGGCACAAAAGUUUACUUGAUACAGUUCAUAAGAACUGACAGUAGAUAUUAUACCUCAUCUAAAAAUGAAAGUGGUGAUUUUGGAGCAAAGAAAAUUUCAGCUAUCCUCUUUUCAAAAUUAUGAGCAGUCACGAUUUUCCAAAGUAGAAUGUUUGCUGAUGGAAGUGCAGGAAGAGGAAGUGGAAGUAAAGAUAAGUUAAAAUCUAUUUCAAAUGUAUUUGAAAUCAGGAAGGGGUCGUACAGUGGUGCAUGCCUUUAAUCUCAAUGGCUAAGGAGGCUAAGGCAAGAGGGUUUAGGUUCAAAGCCAGCCUCAGCAAUUUAGUGAGGUUGUAAGCAAACCUGCUGAGAAUCUGUCUCAAAAACAAAACAAAAUAAAACACUAAAAAGGGAUGGCGAUGUGGCUCAGUAGUUAAGUGCACUUGGGUUCAAUCCCUGGUACCAAAACAACAACAACAAAAAACCCCACACAACAAAAACAACCAAUCAACCAGAAACCAGGAAUCCACAUUUACAAGAUAUGAUCCUAGGAGUAAACUUAACAGCUGAUGAGGAGUUAGUUCACAUUUGAGAAAAUUCAAAAAACAAACAAAAAAAAGUUUUAGGGCUGGGGGUGUAGUUCAGUGGUAGAACCUGUGGAUGGUAUGCAUGAGACCCUGGAUUCAAUUCCUAACAUCAUUUGAAAAAGAAAGAAAACCUUUAGUCACUUCAGGUUUAAGUAAUCCCCCUUCUGCACCCAUGAAUCCAAAUGGAUUGAUUGUCAGGGGGAAAAAAUUGCCUCUGUACUAUGUACAAUUUUUUUAUUUUCAUGUUAUUAUUUUUUAAACAUUACAAUAUAAUGACUAUUUACAUAACAUUUACAUUUUAUUAGUAUAAGCAACCUAGAGAUGUUUGAGUAUAUGAGAGGCCAGGGCUAGUAGUGGACACCUGUAAUCCCUGGCUGAGGCAGAAGGAUCUCAAGUUGGAGGCCAGCCAGGGCAAUUUAGUGAGAUCCUAUCUAAAAAUUGGAUUGGGAAUAUAGCUUGGUGGUAAAGUGCCCUUGGAUUCAAUCUUCAGUAAAAAUAAAUAAAGAAUAUAGGAGGAUAUUGCUGGGCAUAGUGGUAUGUACUUACAAAGCCUGCUAAGAGGCUGAGGCAGGAAAUUGCAAGUUGGAGGCCAGCUUUGGCAAUUUAGGGAGACCCUACCCUGUCUUGAAAUAAAAUAAAAAAGAUGAUCAGGAUAUAGCUCAGGUGUUUCCAUGAGACUAUGGGUUCAGUCCAUGGAAUUCCCCCCACCCCCUGCCAAAAAAAAUAUAAGAGGAUGUACUUAGGUUAUAUGCAAAUAUCAUGUCACUUUAUGUAAGGGACUUGGAUUUUGAUAGCCAUGAAGGGUGAUGAGGUCCUAUAACCUAUCUCAUGCAGAUACUAAAGUACAAUGGUGUACCUCCUAAGCCAAGUUAUUAUAAUAUUACAAAUUGGGUUUACUGUAUUUUAAAAUCUUAAAAUUAAAAAUUUAAAGACAUGAUUUAUUGUUCCUUUAUUCUGUAAAUUUCAUAACGUGAUAAAAUAUUAGAUUUCCAAGUUCCAUAGUGUGGUUAAAGGGCAAAAGUUUUUUUAUGGCUGUUUUUUGUAAGUCCUCUGGUUUUCUAAUCACAGCACAGUUUUUUUUUUUUUUUAAUGAUUUUCUUUUGUGUGGUUCAUUUUAUUUUAUUUUUUUUUAUGUUUGUGAUAAGUAAAUUCCAUAUGCUAAGUAAAUUUCAGGAGGGCAGGGAUUAUGUUUUGUCUUGUCCAUGGUUAAUCUUCAGCACCUUACCUGUGCCUGGUACUGUGAGUGUGCAAUACAUUUGUCAAACAGGUGGCUUCUUAUAAAAUCUUAUCUUGAUUAUGGGAAUUAAAGUCAUCAUACUACAGUGAUACUUGCAUAUCCAUGUUUAUAGCAGCACAAUUCACAAUAGCCAAACUAUGGAACCAGUCUAGGUGUCCAUCAAUAGAUGAAUAAAGAAAAUGUGGUGUGUGAUAUAUACACAUGCAUACACACACACAAUAUAGAGUUAUUCAGUCAUAAAGAAAACUGAAAUUAUGCCAUUUGUAGGAAAAUGGAUGGAAGUAGGGAUGAUUUAUGUUAAAAAAAUAAGUCAUAUUCAGAAAGUCAAGGGUCCUGUGUUUUCUCUCAUAUGCAGAAGCUAAAGAGGAAAAGGAGAAGAAAAGUGGUGGGAGAGGAAUCUCAUGAAAAUCAAAAGGAGAGAAGUAGAGGGUUCAAGAGAUGGGAAGUGUGGAGGGAGGGGGAAGUGUUGGGGAGUGAUAGCAGCCAAAUUAUAUUAUUAUGUUGUGUGCAAGUAUGAAUAUGUAACAACAAACCCUAUCAUUAUGUACAACUACAAUGCACCAAUUAAAAAAUGUGGAAGAAAAGAAAUCUUUCCUUGGUUAGAAUUUUGGGCUUUUGUUAGCAAUGUAUUACCAGAUUCACAACAGAUUUGGGUUUAAUUCAGCCUUCUUUACCCAUUGAGAUUUAGUAUAUUACUUCAAUUUGCCAUAUAUUUUAGUUUCAUUAAACAGAUUACUUCUUUCUGACCUAUGAGUAGUACUGUCUUUUUUAAAAAAAAAAAAUAGAGAGAGAGAGAGAGAGAGAGAAUUUUAAUAUUUAUUUUUUUAGUUUUCAGCGGACACAACAUCUUUGUUUGUAUGUGGUGCUGAGGAUCGAACCCGGGCUGCACGCAUGCCAGGCUAGCGCGCUACCGCUUGAGCCACAUCCCCAGCCCAGUACUGUCUUUUUUAAGAAAAAAAAUCAGUUACUUUUUAAAAAAAAUAUUUUUUAGUUGUAGAUGGAUACAGUAUCUUUUAUCUGUUUACUGAGGAUCAAACCCACUGCCUCAAAGUGCAAGGCAAGCACUCUACCACUGAGCUACAGCCCCAUUUCCCAGUUACUGUUUAAAACACACACACACACACACACACACAGACACACACACAUAUAGAUGUCAAUAGACAUGACAAACUUUAUGCAGUCUUUCUGGGAUAUAUAUGAAAGACUCAUAAGGAUGCUUAAAUUUGUAAAUACCAUAUUUCACAAAUUACAGCUUAAUCCUCACAUAGCUUAGUAAGUGGAUGAUGAUGGCAUACAGCUGAGCUACGGCUAAAUAGCACUUAUUUACUAUGUAGAUAGAUGAUCUUUUUAUUGUACAUCAACUCCUUAUCACUGAACAUUAUGUUACUCUGAAUUUGUAAAAAGACCAUAAACUUAUGUUCCUACUAUCCUCAGUGAAACAUUUUUAAAGUUCAUUCAGCCCUAAGAAAGCAGCAGACAUUUCAAUACUUAAACUACACACACACAUGGAAACACAAUUUUUGCUUCUUUUCUCCCAAAACUGAGCCAGGCCUAGAAAUGAGGUGUAAAUUUUAAUCUUUAAGUAUACAUUAAUUCUCAUCAUUAAAGAAUAAAAGAAUGGAAUUUUAUACACAUUUAAGUAAGUCUAAGAUAAAAGAACAACAAAAAAUAUUAUUCAGGAACAGAAAAAAUAACAUUUUCUAAAGUCAAAAAGGACCACUAUAGAAAUUUUUUUUUAAAUUUUUUUUUAGUUGUUGAUGGAGCUUUAUUUAUUUUUUAUGUGGUGCUAGGGAUUAAACUCAGUGCCUCACACAUGCUAGACAAGCACUGUACCACUGAACUAUAACCCUAGCCCUAGAAAAUUUGUUGAUGAUUAAAAAUUAAUAAAAUAAACAACAAACAAUACUAGUACAGAGAUUACAUGAUUACUUAUCACAUCACUAUUCUCAUGCUUCCAGCUUUUCUUUCAUGUUACAAAAUUUCAAAGUUCAGCAUAUCUAACAAGUUGGUGAGUCUCAGAGAACUGUUCUUGGCUUGCUGUACUACUCUCUCAGAUUCCCUUAUUUCCUUCACUUUAAUGGCAGGUGUGUGUGUGUGUGUGUGUGUGUGUGUGUGUGUGUGUGUUCUUUAGCCUUCUGUAUCCAGGUACAAAACAGAAAUUAUUCUUCUGAACUGUCAUGAGGUUCACUGUUUCCAUUCCAUUCUGACUAUACCACAGUGUAGAUCCUUAUAGCUAUUAUGUCAUUUCUAGUUUGAUGUGGUAGUCUUCUGGCUUGUCUCUUUGUUCUAGUCUCUCCCCUGACAAGUUCUGCUAUGUGUUCUUUCCAUGUUGGUUUUUGCCACCUAGAAGAAUGUACUGGGUUUUUUUUUUUUUAGUUGUAGAUAGACAAAAUACCUUUAUUUUAUUUAUUUGUUUUUAUAUGGGGCUGAGAAUCAAACCCAGUGUCUCACAUAUGCUAGGCAAGCAUUCUACCACUGAGUUACAACCCCAGCCCAAGAAUGUACAUUUAAUGAGUAUUCUAUUCAUAAGUUACACCAAGAGUGUAAUACUUUAGAAGAAUUAAAAUACUUUAGAAGAACUUAACAUAAAUUAUUUAACUCAGCCUUAUGGUUUUAUGAAGUAAAUUAUGUUUUACUAAUAUACUUUUUAAAAAAUAUUUAUUUUUUAGUUUUAGGUGGACACAAUAUCUUAUUUUUACAUAGUGCUGAAAAUCGAACCCAGUGCCUCAGAGGCGUGCUAGGCGAGUGCACUACCACUUGAGCCAUAUCCCCAGCUCCAUGACUUUUUUUUUUAAUAUUUAUGUUUUAGUUUUGCUAAUAUACUUUUAAUUUCAGAUUGAUAAGACAUUUUUAAAAAGGAAAAAUGACUCUAGGACGAUUCUGAACAUAGAAAUGUGUGAAAAAGACCUGGUGGCAAUGUAUUGUAAGAUUUCUGAAUCUGGAAAUUAGGGUUAUCCUUGCUUACGUGAAAAUGGGAGGGAGAUGUUGAGGAAUACUGUCACAACAGAGGGGUACCAGUUAGAAACUAUUGAUGGAGGAGGGAUGGGGAGGGAGUGAUUAUGUUAUAAAAUAUUCUGUACCUAAUUACAGCAUAAUAUAGUUACAUUCCUGAAAAAUCUUAAUGUUAGGUACUGAGGUUAGAAAACUAUUUGAGUUUUACUUAAAGGCAGCAGUAAAUAAAGUAGGUGUAAAUAAACUUUGUACAGUUUAUUAAUUAUAACAUAAAUAACUUUAAUUCAAUUUCUAUUCUAGGUUCAAAAGAAUAUAAAUUUAUUUUAAUGUUUGCAGUUUUAUUUAUUCUGACAUUUUUAUAAAUUCAUUUUGCUUUAAUUUUUGAGAUAGAAGGAAUGACAGUACAAAGUGCAAUAGGUGAAGUUGGCAUUCAUAAUAUUAUGAAAACUCAAAAAUCCACAAUAAGUUGUGAGACAAAAUGGUAACUACUGAGUUGCAUUGUAUAUUUUAGAGUGACUCAAUUUUAAGUGACUGUUCAUUAGGCACUAGCCUAAACAACUCUUUUUUUCAACCUUGCCAUAUCUUUAAGCUUUCUUUCUCUAGCCAUAUUCCAGUACAACUAAAAAAGAAAUUAAAUUCUUAUUGUUCUUUUUCUUCUGUAGAGUGAGUGGUUAAUCCUGACCAAUAAGUAAACUUUGAGGCAGUACCCCUUUUCUGAAUGAGAUACUUCUGAGGUGACAGAUAUGCCAAUACCCUGAUCUGAUCAUUAUCAUCCAUUCAUUCAUUAACAAAUAAGGGUUAGAUAUUUAGUAUUUUUUUCAAUACUGUAUCAAGUAGGUAGUAAUUAUACAAUGUUGCAGAAAGCAGAUACUUCCCUUUCCUUGUGGUGCUUAUAGCCCAGAAGAAAUGGUAAAGUUAACAUUACAAUUCUUUCUUACGCCCCAUUUGUUCCUUACUUAAUUUUCUAUUUACCACCUAUCAACAUUUAAGAAUUAUUUCUUUUUGUUUUGCCCUCGAUCCCACUGUCUUUGUCUUUUUGGGUUACCAUAACAAAAUAACAAAGACUGGGUAGAUUAUGAACAACAAAAAUAUACUUCUCAGUUUUGGAAGCUGAAAGGAGCAAGAUUAAGCAAGGUAUUGGCAGAUUCAGUGUUCAAUAGACUCACUUUCUGUUUCAUAUGAUGGUGUUUUCACGUGGUGCAUGGGACAGAGCUGCUCUCUGGGGCCUCUUUCAUAAGGGUGGUGAUCCCAUGCAGGAGGGCUCUGGUCUUAUGACCUAAUUACAGUUACUUCCCCACUUCCUGAUUCUAUCACAUUAAAGAUUAGGUUUUAACAUAAGAAUUGGGGGUAAGGGACACAAAAAUUCAGACUAUAGUAUUCACCCACAUAAUGUUAGAUGAUAACAUGGAUUUUGUGAUGUUUUGCUUAAGGAAUAUUUGUAGGUUGAGAAGUGAGGAAGGCACAUCUAAGUAGUCAACAUUUGCUUUUUCCGCCUGACUUAACUUCUUUGUUGCUUCCUUAUUUUAGGUGUUACUUUAAAUUUUUAUUUUGAAUUUUUACCUGGAAGCUUCCUGGAAGUUUCCCUACAAUAUCUUCAGAUUGAUGAUACUUUGUAAAAUUUAAGUCUAAAACUUUCUAUCAUUUAAGGGUAAAUCAUGCUCCUUAGCUUUUCAUUAUUGAAUAUUUUCCUAUUUAUUCAGUCCUUUUUUUUUUCUUUCCCCCUUCAUUUUUCUGUUGCUCUCUGCUUUCAGACUACUCUUCAGUAUUCACCAAAUAUAAUAUAGCACAGAUUCUUUAAACUUCUUUUUAAUAUGGUCCCUGGACCAGAGACAUCAGCUUAACUUAGAAAUUAGUUAAAAAUACAAAUCCUUUAGCUCCAUCCCAACGCCUAUUGAAUCAAACUCUGCUUAUAGGGCUCUGCAAAUUGAACAAGCCUUCUAGGAGAUUUUGAUAUACCUUGAAUUUGAGCAUCACUACCUUAAUCCUUUUCUUUUUUAAGCUCAUUUCCUUACAAGUCAACCAUUACUUAACCAUACAUUCAAUAACACUUUUAUUUUGAUCUUUAGAUCUCUAGAUCUAGCUCUCUAACCCUGAUUUCUGUCAAUCCUAUUUUUUAAAUUAUGCAUUAGACAUCUGUCCUGGAUGUCCUUCCAGUACUUCAUAUUGUAUAGGUUCUAAACAAAGUUCAUGAUUGGUCUCCUGAAAUCUGUUUUACAUCUUGUUUCCUAUUUCCUUUUAGCUUUGAAUGUUAGAUUUUGCAGUAUUUUCUCAGUAUUUUGUUUUGUCUUGCUAUAGAAGAACAACAACAACAAAAUUUUUUUAAAACUAUACUACCUGCAAUAGGAUAAGGAUUUUCUAAUCAAUGAAGUUACUAUUUUUCGUAGACUAAAUGUUGAAAUAUGAUUUUAUUUGUUGUCCAUACUUCUUCCCCCUCUGCUCUCUCCCACUCCUUGCCUU